Molecule: long non-coding RNA, 326 nt
Organism: Schistocerca nitens (vagrant locust)
Lineage: Eukaryota; Metazoa; Arthropoda; Insecta; Orthoptera; Acrididae
Exons: 3
Source: RefSeq, a predicted model, not a curated record
UAGCUGUCUUCGUCACAACGCACCAGAUUUUUCGUCGCCACUGCCGUUGUAAGCAGCCGCCAUGAAGUUUGGCCUGGUGUUCACUCUGUGUGUGCUGGUGGUGCUGGCGAGCCUCUGCGACGCUCAGCUGCCCACGGGCGAGCAGCAACAAUCGGGUGUGGAAGCGCGCCAUGGAGCUGCCGAGCGAAUCGAGGCGGACAGGCAGCAACUGUCUGCCAUGAUGCGUUACUUUCGCCGCCUCAUCCCGACGCAGCAGCACAGCACCUAGGCCUCCUCCAGUGAGUCAUCUUCUCACGUUCACAGUGUAGUGUAUUAAUAUUUUGAAU